Molecule: ribosomal RNA, 421 nt
Filed under: uncultured Cytophagales bacterium
Lineage: Bacteria; Pseudomonadati; Bacteroidota; Sphingobacteriia; Sphingobacteriales
Description: partial 16S ribosomal RNA
Rfam family: Bacterial small subunit ribosomal RNA
Source: RNAcentral
UAGGGAAUAUUGGUCAAUGGGCGAAAGCCUGAACCAGCCAUGCCGCGUGCAGGAUGAAGGCCCUCAGGGUUGUAAACUGCUUUUGUACGGGAACAAAAAGCUCCUGCGGGAGCCAUUGAGGGUACCGUAAGAAUAAGCACCGGCUAACUCCGUGCCAGCAGCCGCGGUAAUACGGAGGGUGCAAGCGUUAUCCGGAUUUACUGGGUUUAAAGGGUGCGUAGGCGGCUCUUUAAGUCAGUGGUGAAAGCCUGGCGCUCAACGCCAGAAAUGCCAUUGAUACUGUAGAGCUUGAGUCGAGAAGAGGUAAGCAGAAUUCAUGGUGUAGCGGUGAAAUGCAUAGAUAUCAUGAGGAAUUCCAACAGCGAAGGCAGCUUACUGGUCUUUGACUGACGCUGAGGCACGAAAGCGUGGGGAGCAAACA